AUUAAGCCAUGCAUGUCUAAGUACGGCUCUAGUACGGUGAAACUGCGAAUGGCUCAUUAAAUCAGUUUUGGUUCAUUUGAUCGUAAAAAUUUACAUGGAUAACUGUUGUAAUUCAAGAGCUAAUACAUGCUAAGAGCGUCACUCUAUGAGUGACGUGCUUUUAUCAGAUCAAAACCAAUCACCUUCGGGUGUUCCAUUGUGGCGAGUCUGGAUAAUUUAGCUGAUCGCAUGGUCUCGAACCGGCGAUGGAUCAUUCAAGUGUCUGACCUAUCAACUGUCGAUGGUAGCGUAUUGGUCUACCAUGGUUGUAACGGGUAACGGAGAAUUAGGGUUUGGUUCCGGAGAGGGAGCCUGAGAAACGGCUACCACAUCUAAGGAAGGCAGCAGGCGCGCAAAUUACCCAUUCCCGACUCGGGGAGGUAGUGACGAAAAAUAACAAUUCAAGACUCUUAACGAGGCCUUGAAGUUGGAAUGAGUACACUUUAAAAUUUUUAACGAGUAUCUAUUGGAGGG
Molecule: ribosomal RNA, 513 nt
Filed under: uncultured eukaryote
Lineage: Eukaryota
Description: SSU rRNA
Rfam family: Eukaryotic small subunit ribosomal RNA
Source: RNAcentral